GUAAUUGUUCAUCUCUUUGAUUGUGUAUAGGAGUCAAGGAACAUGCUGUCCAAUACUGCAUUGGUCAGUCAGUACCUGUGGAUUCAUGUUGCUUUUGGCUUGUGGAUGCACUUUAUUUUCUGUUGGUGUGUCUUUUUUGCUGACUGCUCAAUUUGGUAAAAUGUCAUGACAUGCACUAAAAUGUGUGAGUUUUAAGAUUUAGCAGUAAUUGAUAGG
Molecule: unclassified non-coding RNA, 216 nt
Filed under: Hevea brasiliensis (rubber tree)
Lineage: Eukaryota; Viridiplantae; Streptophyta; Magnoliopsida; Malpighiales; Euphorbiaceae
Source: RNAcentral